AGUGAACGCUGGCGGCGUGCUUAACACAUGCAAGUCGAACGAGAACGGAUUAUAGCUUGCUAUAAUUGUCAGCUAAGUGGCGCACGGGUGAGUAAUAUAUAGGUAACGUGCCCCAAAGAAGAGGAUAACAGUUGGAAACGAUUGCUAAGACUCUAUAUGCCUUUAUGACAUAAGUCAGCAAGGGAAAUAUUUAUAGCUUUGGGAUCGGCCUGUACAGUAUCAGUUAGUUGGUGAGGUAAUGGCUCACCAAGACAAUGACGCUUAACUGGUUUGAGAGGAUGAUCAGUCACACUGGAACUGAGACACGGUCCAGACUCCUACGGGAGGCAGCAGUGGGGAAUAUUGCACAAUGGACGAAAGUCUGAUGCAGCAACGCCGCGUGGAGGAUGACACAUUUCGGCGCGUAAACUCCUUUUAUAUAGGAAGAUAAUGACGGUACUAUAUGAACAAGCACCGGCUAACUCCGUG
Molecule: ribosomal RNA, 468 nt
Filed under: uncultured bacterium
Lineage: Bacteria
Description: bacterial SSU rRNA
Rfam family: Bacterial small subunit ribosomal RNA
Source: RNAcentral